Molecule: ribosomal RNA, 301 nt
Filed under: uncultured bacterium
Lineage: Bacteria
Description: partial 16S ribosomal RNA
Rfam family: Bacterial small subunit ribosomal RNA
Source: RNAcentral
CAGUCGCCGCGGGAAUACGAAGGGGGCUAGCGUUGUUCGGAUUAACUGGGCGUAAAGGGCGCGUAGGCGGGUUUUUAAGUCAGAGGUGAAAUCCCAAGGCUCAACCUUGGAAUUGCCUUUGAUACUGGAAGUCUUGAGUCCGGGAGAGGUGAGUGGAACUGCGAGUGUAGAGGUGAAAUUCGUAGAUAUUCGCAAGAACACCAGUGGCGAAGGCGGCUCACUGGCCCGGUACUGACGCUGAGGCGCGAAAGCGUGGGGAGCAAACAGGAUUAGAUACCCGUGUAGUCCCUGUCUCUUAUAC